Molecule: transfer RNA, 66 nt
Filed under: Camelus bactrianus (Bactrian camel)
Lineage: Eukaryota; Metazoa; Chordata; Mammalia; Artiodactyla; Camelidae
Also listed under: 1 other name
Rfam family: tRNA
About the family: Transfer RNA (tRNA) molecules are approximately 80 nucleotides in length. Their secondary structure includes four short double-helical elements and three loops (D, anti-codon, and T loops).
Source: Rfam by way of RNAcentral
GAGGGUAUAGCUCAGUGGUAGAGUGCACGCUUAGCAUGAGGUCCUGGGUUCAAUCCCAGGCCCUCU